Molecule: long non-coding RNA, 516 nt
Organism: Cyprinus carpio carpio
Lineage: Eukaryota; Metazoa; Chordata; Actinopteri; Cypriniformes; Cyprinidae
Source: Ensembl
CGCCUCAAGUGCCUGGACGCUUGCUGCUGAUAACACGCACAAGAGGACACGAUCAGGAGAGUUCUAACAGUUUGGACAUUGCGUGAAUCAGAGUGGGACCAGAGGGGCUCCGUAACUGAUAGACUGCAUAGGUUUGAGCUAAACAUCUUGGUGUGUGUUCUACUGAAGAAUCAAAGUCACCUACAUCUUGGAUGCCCUGGGGAGGUCUCAAAAGCAAGAGCAUAAGCUCCAGACAUGAUGCUGCAUGCAUCCGCUGAUAUGGGACGGAUCUAUCACUGGUAGAUAUGAUUCUGUUUGACAGUUCUGUGAGCAUGUAACAAAAUGAACAAAACAAACCACACACAUCGAGCAACCAAAGGAGGCGGUUAGCUUUUCUUGAGCUUCUCGUUUUCUUGUGUGUUCUUGUUUCGAAAGUGUUUUGUUGUUUCCCUGUGGUUUCCUUUUCCUGCGUCUUGUUUUCAAAUCCAGUGUUUUGACGAAAAGUAUCUCUGAAAACAAUGCCAAGCUAUAUCGAGC